RNAcentral lists this ribosomal RNA (468 nucleotides) under uncultured bacterium. Its description in RNAcentral is "partial 16S ribosomal RNA". It matches the Rfam family "Bacterial small subunit ribosomal RNA", at positions 28 to 507 of the family's 1533-position model. The record is from RNAcentral.
GACGAACGCUGGCGGCGUGCUUAACACAUGCAAGUCGAACGGAAAGGCCCUGCUUUUGUGGGGUGCUCGAGUGGCGAACGGGUGAGUAACCCGUGAGUAACCUGCCCUUGACUUUGGGAUAACUUCAGGAAACUGGGGCUAAUACCGGAUAGGAGCUCCUGCUGCAUGGUGGGGGUUGGAAAGUUUCGGCGGUUGGGGAUGGACUCGCGGCUUAUCAGCUUGUUGGUGGGGUAGUGGCUUACCAAGGCUUUGACGGGUAGCCGGCCUGGGAGGGUGACCGGCCACAUUGGGACUGAGAUACGGCCCAGACUCCUACGGGAGGCAGCAGUGGGGAAUAUUGCACAAUGGUCGGAAGCCUGAUGCAGCAACGCCGCGUGCGGGAUGACGGCCUUCGGGUUGUAAACCGCUUUCGCCUGUGACGAAGCGUGAGUGACGGUAAUGGGUAAAGAAGCACCGGCUAACUACGUG